RNAcentral lists this ribosomal RNA (497 nucleotides) under uncultured bacterium. RNAcentral's name for it is "partial 16S ribosomal RNA". It matches the Rfam family "Bacterial small subunit ribosomal RNA", at positions 28 to 507 of the family's 1533-position model. The record is from RNAcentral.
GAUGAACGCUGGCGGCGUGCUUAAUACAUGCAAGUCGAGCGAACAGAUGAGGAGCUUGCUCCUCUGACGUUAGCGGCGGGCGGGUGAGUAACGCGUGGAUCAUCCACCUAUCAGACUGGGAUAACCUCGGGAAACCGGCGAUAAUACCGUAGAAUCUACUGAACCGCAUGGUUCAAUAGUGAAAGUCGGUUUUGCUGUAUGUUAUAGCUGCUUCCGGGCCGCAUUAGCUAGUUGUUGGGGUCACGGCUUACCAAGGCAAGGAUGCGUAGCCGACCGGACGGGGUGGUCGGCCGCACUGGAACUUAGCCACGGACCAGACUCCUGCGGGAGGCAGCAGUAGGGAAUCUGCCGCAAUAGGCGGAAGCCUGACGGAGCAAGGGGGCGUGUGUUAUAACGGUCUUGGGAUCGUAAUACUGUGUUAUUAGGUAAGAACAACUUUGUACGUAGCUAUGCACGGCUUGACGGUACUUAAUCAGAAAGCCAUGGCUAACUACGUG